GAUGAACGCUGGCGGCGUGCUUAACACAUGCAAGUCGAACGAUGAAGCCGGAGCUUGCUGGGUGGAUUAGUGGCGAACGGGUGAGUAACACGUGAGUAACCUGCCCCUGACUCUGGGAUAAGCGUUGGAAACGACGUCUAAUACUGGAUAUGACUACCGGCCGCAUGGUCUGGUGGUGUAAAGAUUUUUUGGUUGGGGAUGGACUCGCGGCCUAUCAGCUUGUUGGUGAGGUAAUGGCUCACCAAGGCGACGACGGGUAGCCGGCCUGAGAGGGUGACCGGCCACACUGGGACUGAGACACGGCCCAGACUCCUACGGGAGGCAGCAGUGGGGAAUAUUGCACAAUGGGCGAAAGCCUGAUGCAGCAACGCCGCGUGAGGGAUGACGGCCUUCGGGUUGUAAACCUCUUUUAGUAGGGAAGAAGCGAAAGUGACGGUACCUGCAGAAAAAGCACCGGCUAACUACGUGCCAGCCGCCGCAGUAA
Molecule: ribosomal RNA, 484 nt
Filed under: uncultured bacterium
Lineage: Bacteria
Description: partial 16S ribosomal RNA
Rfam family: Bacterial small subunit ribosomal RNA
Source: RNAcentral